Long non-coding RNA from Myodes glareolus (Bank vole), 4922 nucleotides. RefSeq lists it as uncharacterized. Lineage: Eukaryota; Metazoa; Chordata; Mammalia; Rodentia; Cricetidae. The record is from RefSeq and is a predicted model, not a curated record.
UUCCUGGGACCUGGGACCUGGGAGUGGACUAGAAAGACAUGGGACCAGGUCAUGAGCUCAGCUCUUACUUUGAGAGCACCUAGCAACCGUCGUUUGGAACCUUUUAAGCAGGGGACUUUACACUCUACUUCACUCUAAAGAGUCCCUGUUGCAUGGAGCCUGAGUAUGGGAGGCAAGAAUGUCUGUGGAGCGGUCAGACUGGGGGCUGGAGACAGAGCAGAAAUAAAGUGGGAAACAGAGACUCCAAAGGAUAAAGACUAUCCCAAUCCCCAUGGAUAACUAGACAUUGUUUUAUGAGCUAUGGACUCCAUCUUGCUUUCAUGAGGAAAACUGCAAAAACAGUGAUAAAUCUGACUUUCAGUCUGAUGACCUGGCAUACUGAAGCAAGUGCUGUGCCAAACCCAACUCAGAGACACUGGCUUUGAACUCAUUCAACAAACUCAUUCUCAAGCUCCUCUCUGUUGGACUUUGCUCCCUUCAGCUCUCCUAUCAGGGUGAGUUGGCAUCUGACUCCUUUCCUAUUGUGUGGUUGAUUUCAAAGAAAAUGGCCCCCAAAGGGAAUAGAACUAUUAGGAGAUAUGGUCUUGUUGGAAGAAGUGUGUCAUUGUGGGCAUGGGCUUGGAAGUCUCAUCUAUGCUCAAGCCACACCUAGUGAGACAAACCACUUCUUGCUGCCUACAAGAUGUAGAACUCUCAGGUGCUUCUCCAGCACCAUGCCUGCCUACAUGCCUCCAUGUCCCACCAUGGCAAUAAUGCCCUACAUGCCUCCAUAGUCCCACUGAACUAUGAACUGUAAGAGAGUCAUCUCAAUUAAAUGGUCUUCCUUUGUAAGAGUUGCCAUGGUCAUGGUGCCUCUUCACAACAAUCAGAAACCUAAGACAGAAGUUGGUACUACAGACUGAUAUAAUGCUGUGAUAGGCCUGACCAUGUUUUUGUUUGGGAACUGUGGAUUAGAAAAGCAAUUGAAUACUUUAGGUGCUGAUUAAUGGGCCAUACUAGUAGGAGCAUUGAUGACAGUAGGGCUAAGAGUUAUUUGAACUGUUGAGGCCUAUGUCAAGAGGUUUCAGAGGGGAAGAAUAUUUGUAUGUGGCCUAGAGAUUAUUCUUAUGAUAUUUUGGUGAACAAUGUGGCUGCUUUUUGCCCUUGCCCAAAGAAUCUUCCUGAGGCUGAGUGGAGAGUUUUGUUUUAAUUUCGUUCACAGAAGAAAUCUCAAAACAAUCCAGUACAGACUCUGUAAUGUGGCUAUUGGUGUGGGAGAAUUGUCUGUAUUCUAUCAAUUACAUUUUAAAUAAAUGCUGAUUGGCCAAUAGCCAGACAGGAAAUAUAGGUUGGAAAACCAGACAGGAAGUAGAAGUGGGGCAAUGAGAACAGGAGUAUUCUGGGAAGAAGGAAGCUCUCUCACACUCCUAUCCAGAUCACGGAAAAAGCAAGAUGUGAUCUGCCUCGCUGAAAAAGGUACCAAGUCAUUUGGCUAACAUACUCUAGAAUAAUGGGCUAAUGUAAGUUAUUAGAACUAAUACAAAACCUGAGAUAAUGGGCCAAUCAGUUUAUAAUUAAUGCAGACUUUCUGUGUGAUUAUUUCGAGGCUAAGCUAUGUGGGCAGUCGGGGUGACAAGCAGGCCCUCAUGCUACAGAAUGGCACCCAAGGGCAGAAACCCCAAGAAGCAGGCCCUCAUGCUACAAGCUAUUAGUGUUAACUCUAAUAAAGAUUUAUAAUGAAAAGGAGCAAGCUGAGCAGAGUAAAUUGAAAAUGGAGAACCAGGAAGUAGAAUGGAGCUAAAUUCUUUGUUCAAAGAGAUAUACAGAUUAAGAAAUUGAGUAAAAGGAGUUGUAACCUCAGGGCAUGCUUCCCAACUUGUGGAAAGGAAUUAGAGAAAAGUUUAGACCUGGGUAUGGCAGUGAAGACCUAUAAUUCUAGCACUCUAGAGGCAAAAACUGAUGAAUCUCUGAAUUUGGGGCUAGCCUGGUCUAUAGGGCAGGUUCCAGAACAACCAAGCUUAGGCAGUAAAUGUAACCAUGGAAAACAGAAAGAUGGUGAAUAUGUAAUUGAAUAAAAAGGCCAUGUUUCAGACCCAACAAGUUACAGAACUUGGCAGCUUCAGUUACAUGGUUCUGGCUUUAGAGUUAAGAAAGAGGAAAUGACUUAUGGAAUUUGCCUCUAUGACCAAAGAAAGCCACUGAGGCCAGGAAUGUGUCAAGGGUGUCCCUGCAUGGAGGCCUAGAGAGGCCAUUGUGUGAAACUUUAAAGGAGAAGCCUGAAUUGCCUUGGAGAUCCCAAGAUGCUAAAGAUGCCAGAGUCGUGGGAUACCUGACAAUAAGAGCUGCUAACAGGGAGUGGAAUCAACCCAAGAGAAAGAAGUGUACUGUAGUCAACAAAACGGAAAGGGGUUGGGAAUCUGAAGAGUGUUUUGACAGCACACAUGAAAAUGUAGGGUUUGGAGUUUGCCCAGCUGGUUUUCAGUCUUGUUUUGGUCCAGUAUUUCCUCACUAUGUCCCCUUUCCUUCCUUUAGUAUUGAUAAUGUAUAUCCUUUGCCACUAUAUGUUGGAAGUAUGUGAUCUGCUUUUUGAUUUUGAUUUUACAGAAGAUUACAAUUAAGAGAUUGCAUGAAUCUCAGAAGAGACUUUGAACCUUAGACUUUCAAAUAAGUUUGAGACUGUUAUAUGAGACCAUGGGACUUUUGAAGUUGGGCUGAAUGUAGCUUUGCAUUAUGAUACGGCUAUAAGCCUUUGAGGACCAGAAAAGUGGAAUGUGAUGAUUUGAAAGAAAAUAAACCCCAAAGGGAGUGGCACUAUUAGGAGGUGUGGCCUUGUUGGAGUAAGUGCAAUCUUGAUAGAUAGAGAAAGUAUGUGACUGUGGAGGCAGGCUUUGAGGUCUCAUAUGUGAUCAAGCCAUGCCCAAUGAGAAGGGCCACUUCUAUUGCCUGCAAGUCAAGAUGUAGGGCACUUGGCUACUUCUCCAGCACUAUGUCUGCCUGCACACGUCGUAUCAUGAUGAUAAUGGACUAAACCUCUGAAAAUGCAAUCCACCCUAAUUCAAUGUUUUCCCUUUACAAGAGUUGCUGUGGUCACAGUGUCUCCUCACAGCAGUAAAACACCCUAACUAAUACAGAAUAUUUUCACAUCCGUAUAUCUUCCUAUGGGUUUAUGGACAUUUGCUGUUUUCCAACACUCUGGGCAGGCUGUAAAGGUUUCAGAUCUCUCCAGCCUUCCCAACUUUAAGAUACCUACUAUCCACUAUGUUAAGAAUACUCAUUGCUGGGUGGUGGUGGUGCUUGACUUUAAUUCUUCAGCAUUCCAGAGGUAGAGGUAGGUGAAUCUCUGAGUUCAAGGCCAGCUUGGUCUACAGAGCAUGUUCCAGGACACCCAGGGCUAUCUUGACCCCCUCACCAUGGGUACUUGUCUUCCUGGAAGACAUAUCGCAGUUCAUUAAGGACUCUCAAUAUGAACAAAAUAUGCAGAAGUGUUAGGCGCGCUUAUCAUUGCACAAAACAGAAAGAAAAGGACUAGUGUGAGGCUUUUGUUCUUCUCACAGCUUUAGGAGCAAGGGAGAAGAGGCGUCCCACACACAUGCGUGCCCUAAGAAUCAGCCGCGUUCUGAAAGAAAACAAAGCACAGAGUCAAAACUGAAGAACAGAUAGGAUAAAAUACGGAGGAUUGUACAGAGGCUAUGCCUUGGAGAGGCUUUCAUUUCAUCCAGGGCAAGGCAACUUUCAUUUCUUCAGUUCAUUUUUCUCUCUUGCUGAGGACCAUAAGGAGGGCCCCAUAAUGCUAAGUAAGUACUGCACCCCUGACUGUGGCACCAGCCUUCUAAGGCUGCCUUCCACAGACCCUAAUACCUCAGUUCCAGCCUCUUUAUUUUUCUCUAACUUUGUGCCGAGGCUUCUCUUUGAUCAAUAAGAAUAUGGAGGGCGGGGGCCGAGGAGCUUUUGUAAAGCACACACUGUGAGAUGUGGACUGGCCAAGUCAUCCUGCAAGGGCUAAGUGUUAAAGCUUCUCAGUCAGCCCCAGGAAAGAAUGUCCAUGAAGACGAGCUAGUCUAUUUUUAAUGAUUGUAAAAUAAGAAAAAAAGAAUGAAGAAAGCAUUCUCAUGAAAAUCUGAGUUUCUUUUGUGCAUUGGGGCGUUUUCUCAAGAUCAUUACCUAGUGACUGAGUAGUUGGAGAUCAAUGGUUUCUGAAACUCAGGAUUAGAGAAAUAGAAAAUAUAUUUUACUUUGUUGAAAAUGUAAUGGAACUUAAAAUGUUUUUUAAAGAAGAAUCCAUAGGUCAUGCAACUUUGUUGGUGACAGCCAUAGAAAUAAGACUGGGGGACAGAAACAGCGAGAGGGAAAGAUGAGGGUGCAGGAGAGAUCUUUUUAUCGGAGAAAAACCUGGAGCAACGAGCCUUCUGGCAAUUGUGCUAGCUGCUGCAAAGUUGUCAAAGUCAAGAGCAGAACCAAAACCCUGUUCUGCCUUUCCUUGAUUCUCAAGUCUCCCUAGACUUCAAAAAAAUCAGUGGGCCUCUAAAAUCCUAAUAGAUAUUUGAUCUGAUGAGAGGUAUAGGAAGGCAAAGUUGGACAUAGGAAGAAUUAAAGAUGAUAAAAAUGAGAAGCUAAUCCCUACCUAUCUUGAAAAGGUUGGUUUUAGAGGGUUAUCAGGGUUCACUCUCAAAUAUUCACUACAGAGCUUGCCGUAAGCCACAUGUCCUUUGGGAUCCAGCCUAGAUGAAAUUUGCACAUUCCAGGAUAGGAGUGUGAGGAUUAGAAUUAUUAGGCAAAAGGAACACAGACAUAGAGAAAUAAAAGAGAGAAACACAGAACAGCACCAGGAGGUGCUGUAGAUGGGCCCUGUUAUAUGUUAUUUUCAUUGGUUAAUAAAGAGACUGCCUUGGCCCUCUGAUAGGACAGAAAAUUAGGUAGGUGGAGUAAACAGAACAGAAUGCUGG